Long non-coding RNA from Nicotiana attenuata, 7486 nucleotides. RefSeq lists it as uncharacterized. The record is from RefSeq and is a predicted model, not a curated record. The transcript is spliced from 2 exons. Lineage: Eukaryota; Viridiplantae; Streptophyta; Magnoliopsida; Solanales; Solanaceae.
UAAAAAGAGAAAAAGUGAGGCGGUUUGCGCAAGAAAAGAAAAAAAAAGAAUAAAACCAGCAACUAGUUUAUCAGAAGCAGCUCAACAGCGGUUUUUCUAAGGAAAAAAACAAGAGAAAUAGGAAGAUAGAGAUAUACGAAGAAGGAGAGCAUGGAGGAAUAGAUCCUAAAAGCAGAUUCCAACAUCAAAUAGAAGUUAUUAUCUCUAAAACCUUGAACCCAAGUAGUGUUGAAGAAGACUCAAUCACUUUUCUCCCUUCUCGACUCUUACAAAUAAUUUAGUUAAAGCUGACACUUCGACCCAAGUAGAGUGAUAGACAGAGAUGACGAUGGAUCCAGUAAGCUACGCACUUGCUUUGUGUGGGCUAUCAGUUUGUUAGACUACUUUAACAUGUUAUUUUGUUAAAGUUCUAUAGUUUUGCACCAUAAGUCAGUCUUGGGAUUGUAUUUUGGUUUGUGGCUUUAGAUUGACGAUAUUUUCUAAACUUAGCAUGUUAGAGUUACUAGUAUUAUGGUGCAUUGAGCACGUGUUGAUUGAAGGCUGACAUGUUUUUUUUACUUUUGGUUUUCUCUCGGUAAAGAGGAGACUCUGCCGGAUUUUUGAUAUGGAAAGAAAAAAGGUAGGCUUGCUUAGUAGUCUUAGACUCACUUAGCGCCGGUCAUGACCCUCGUCGUGCCGUGACAGAGUUGGUAUCAAAACUUUAGGUUUAGAAUAUGACUUAAGGAGCAACGGUUUUAGUAGAGGAUUAAUUGUGUAUAUGUUGUGUACCAUAUGCACGAUCGGGGCUCGGCAGAAACUGAUUAGCACUUUUCUUUCUUAUUCAUUAUUGAAUUUUAAAAGAGUGAUAUAUGCGAUCUAGAGCCGAGUAAGCAUACUAAAAUUGUUUUUAUGUUUAUAGAUGGUAAAGACACGCUUGGCUAAUAGUGGGACCGGACAAAUAAAUAGGCACGAGGUACCACACGCUAUGUUAGAAGAAUUAUGCUUCCACCAAACUCUGGUUGGGGUCGUAGGAGAGGCCGGCAUACCUGCUAGACAAGCUGUCCACCCGAUCAGUGAAGAUGAGGUAAUACCACCCUCAUAGCCUCAAGGUGGUGGUACUACUGAUGCGAUAGCCGCAAUUCUGCAUCAAGCCAUGGAAAGUUUGCUAUAGAAGGUCCAAACACAAUCGAGGGUUAGUGCAAUGUCUGAAACGGGUGACAGCCAUAACCAGAAAGAACAUCCACUUGGGAAAUUAAUUCGGGAGUUUUUGGAGCUGAAGCCUCCCGUGUUUACAGGGGAUAGCGAGACCGAGGACCCACAGCUAUUCUUGGAUGGAAUUUAAAAAGCAUUAGAUGUGCUUGAAUGCUCUAGCACGAGGUCGGUUGCGUUGGCUGCCUAUUGUUUAUAGGAUGUUACCGAAGAAUGGCUUAAAUCUUUCAACGCAGGCCGACCAAUUGGAUCACGUCCCUUAACUUUGAAUGAAUUUUAUACUGACUUUAUUGAGCGAUUCUUGCCUAUGAGCCAUAUAGAUGCUUUGGUAGCUCAAUUUGAGGGGUUGAAGCAGACCUCAGAGAUGUCAGCGAAUGAGUAUAAUAUUCAGUUCACUCGUUUAUCUCGAUAUGCACCACAUCUAUUGGAUGAUGAUGCUAUGCAGACUAAGAGGUUCAUACGAGGUCUAAUCGAUCCAUUUUUCAAACCACUGACAUCACAUUUGACUAAGAAUGACAUAACCUACACACAGGCAGUGGAUGUUGCAAGUGAGGUAGAGGCUCGGUGGAUUGAAGGGAAGGCAACUAAAGCCUAAAAUAAGAGGACAAAGACCACAGGAUCCUUUGGAGGGGGUAUUGGUACUAGUCGAGGCACAGGAUCACAAAGCCAUCCACGGACUGCACAAAUGAGAGAAUCAUCAAUUGUCCAGUCAUCUAUCAGUGCUUCUGCCUUGAGACAAAGUCCUAGAGGCCGGUACCGACACCUGGGCAGACCAACCACACUAUAUCUACUUGUCCUAGUUGUCACAAGGUUCAUUUAGGCCAAUGUUGGAGAGAAAUUGGUGCAUGCCUUCGCUGUGGUCAGAUGGGUCAUUACAAGAGAGAUUGCCCACGCUAUCAAAAAGGGACUAACCAGGUGUCGACACCGACGAAUAGCACCCCAGCCAUCUCCGAAGCUCAGACUGCUAGGGAGAAUUCGGGAUAAGGUAGAGGCGCUGGAAACAAGGGCCCAACUAGUAGAGGAUUGGGAGAGGCCGGGAGAGGCAAACCCCGAGUUUUUGGUCUUACCAGGCAAGAUGCACAAGCAUCUAAUGCAGUCGUCACAUGUACAUUCAUAGUGUGUCAACUUGUUGUUGCUAUAUUUAAUGAUUUUAAACUGCCCUAUUUUUAUUGUGUUCAUAUGAUGUCGUAGGAUUUAACAUACAAAAUGAUGUCCCAGGUAUACAUUCGAUGUGUUCAUUUGAUGUUAUUGCUUUAAUUGACCCUGGAUCCACCCAUUCCUAUGUGUACCCAUAUUUUGCUAUGAGGUUUAACAGACUCCCAGAGUUGUUAUUAGCCCCUUUUGUAGUUGCUACACCAGUUGGGGAAUAUUUACUAGUUGAGUGAGUGUAUCCCUCUUUUCAAAUUAGUGUUGGGGAAAAUGACAUAUUAGCAGUCUAAUAUCAUUCAUGAGUACAAAUCAAAUGUUAAAUGAUGUCGAGUGAGUCAAGUUCCAUUCUACAAGGUGACCAAGGACCACCUUUGAACAGUUUAAUAUCAUUUAUGAGUGCAAAUCGAAUGUUAAAUAAAGGUUGCCUGGGAUUUUUUGGCGCGUGUCAAAGAUUCAAACAUUAUAGUGCCAGAUUUAGAGAAUGUUCAUGUGGUUAGAGAAUUCCCUAAUGUGUUUUUGGAAUAUCUACAUGGGUUACCUUUUGUUAGGAAAAUUGACUUCGGUAUUGAUCUAGUACCUAGAACAUAACCCAUAUCAAUACCUCCCUAUCGAAUGGCACCAACCGAGUUAACAGAGCUGAAGGAACAACUGCAUGAUCUAUUAAAUAAAGGUUUCAUUAGACCGAGAACUUCGUCUUGGGUCGUACUAGUUCUAUUUGUAAAGAAGAAGGAUGGGUCCAUGAGACUGUAUAGACUACCGAUAGCUGAACAAGGUCAUGAUACGCAAUAAAUACCCGUUGCCGCGUGUUGAUGAUUUGUUCGACAAACUCCAGGGUGCAAGGAGGUUCUCAAAGAUUGAUCUACGGUCAGGAUACCAUCAGCUAUUCAUCAAUGGUGAAGACGUUCCAAAGAUGGCCUUUCGAACCAGGUAUGGACACUGCGAAUUUUUAGUGAUGUCUUUUGGACUGACAAACGAACCAAUGACAUUUAUGGACAUGAUGAAUAGGGUGUUCAAACCAUACCUGGAAAAAUUUGUAAUUGUAUUUAUCGAUGAUAUCCUAAGACUUAUGAAGAGCAUGAACAACACUUGAGGAGGGUACUAUAGACACUUAGAGAACAUAAGCUAUAUGCUAAGAUUGCUAAGUGCGAACUUUGGCUAGAUCGAGUUUCCAUCCUAGGUCAUAUUAUAUCCGAGGAAGGGAUCUUAGUUGACCCAAAGAAAGUGGAAGCGGUACAGAAAUGGCCGAGGCCAACCACCGCCACCGAGAUAUGAAGCAUCUUAGGUCUUGCUGGCUAUUAUAGGCGCUUUAUACAGGAUUUCUCAACGAUACCAGCACCCUUGACGAAGAUGACGCAAAAACAUGUGAAAUUUCAAUGCUCAUAUGAAUAUCAGUGAAGUUUUCUUGAAAGUCAAGGAAUUUCUAACAACAGCUCCGGUAUUGCUGCUUCCAUCUGGAACCGAAGGAUUUUCAGUAUAUUGUGAUGCCUCCCGAGUGGGACUUGGGUAUGUUCUCAUGCAGAAUGGCCGAGUCAUAGCAUAUGCUUUGAGACAAUUGUAGAAGCAUGAGCAAAAUUAUCCGGCACAUGACUUAGAGUUGGCGGCAGUUGUAUUUGCAUUAAAGCUUUGGCGACAUUAUUUAUAUGGAGAGAAAUGCGAGAUCUAUACUGAUCACAAGAGCCUCUAGUAUAUCUUCCAACAAAAAGAUUUGAACCACCGACAAUGAAGGCGGAUUGAGCUACUAAAGGAUUAUGAUUGCACGAUAUUGUAUCACCCAAGAAAGGCUAACGUGGUGGCUAACGCAUUGAGCCGAAAGUCUAAUAAGGAGGAACCUAGCAAAAGAAAUCCACAAAUUAGAAGAUUGUGGAAAAAACUUUAGUUUGGGACAAGCGGUCUCAUUAUUGGCACAUAUUCAAGCUAGAUCGUCAUUAAUAGAGGAUAUCAAGGCAAAGCAAUAUUUGGAUUCGAAGUUGUGCAAAAUCAGAGACGACGUUGUUGCCGGUAAGGGCAAAUAUUUUACUCUAGAUAGUAACAAGGUGCUAUGAUUGGGCGAUCGUAUCUGUGUACCUGAUAUUGAUGGCUUGAGACACUCGAUACUUGAGGAAGCACAUGGCUCCAAGUACUCGGUUCAUCCUGGAUCAACAAAGAUGUAUCAGGAUCUUCGAUAGUUAUAUUGUUGGGAUGGUAUGAAGAAUGAUAUUGCGAACUAUGUCACCCGGUGUCUCACUUUUCAGCAAGUAAAGGCCGAGCAUCAACAACCUGCGGGGUUCAUGCAACAGCUUGAGAUUCCAGAAUGGAAGUGGGAACGAAUUACCAUGGACUUUGUGAGUAGAUUGCCACGAACUCCUAAAGCUUAUGACUCUAUAUGGGUGAUUGUAGAUCGACUUACGAUGUUGGCGUAUUUUUUGCCGGUUAAAACCAUAUACAAUGGCGUGCGUUAUGCACAAAUUUAUAUAGAUGAUAUUGUUCGACUUUAUGGAGUCCCGGUGUCUAUUAUUUCAGAUAGAGGGCCCCAUUUUACCUCGCACUUCUGUAAAGCAUUUCCGAGAGCACUAGGGACGCGUGUGGACUUGAGUCCUACGUUUCACCCGCAGACGGACGGGCAGUUCGAGCGGACUAUACAUACACCAGAAGAUAUGUUGAAAUCUUGUAUCCUUUAUUUUGGCGGCAUUUGGGACAAAUAUAUACCUUUGGUUGAGUUUGCAUAUAAUAAUAGCUUCCAAGCCAGUUUACAAAUGGCACCUUAUGAGGCGCUAUAUGAAAGAUGAUGUCGGUCUCCCAUCAGUUCGUUUGAGGCUGGAGAGGCAAGGGUAUUGGGUCCAGAUUUGGUACAAUUAGCACUUGAAAAAAUUUAAUUAAUCAGGCAGAGGUUGCUAGCAUCUCAAAGUAGACAAAAAGCUUAUGCGGACAAGAGACAUCGAGAAUUGGAAUUUUGGGUAGGAGAUCACGUUUUCUUACGGGUAUCACCGAUGAAAGGGGUUUUGAGAUUUGGGAACAAAGGGAAGUUGAGUCCAAGAUAUAUUGGACCAUAUGAGAUACUAGACAGAGUUGAUGCCGGGGCAUAUCGUUUAGCAUUUCCGUCAGACUUGUCUUCUGUACGUCAAGUAUUUCACGUAUCUAUGUUGUCAAAGUACAUGUCUGACCCGUCUCAUGUACUUGAGAUAUCGAAUAUUCAAUUAGAUGAAAUAUUGACUUACGAAGUGGAGCCAAUAGGCAUCAUUGAUAGGCAAGUGAGAAGGCUCCGGUCGAAAGACAUUACAACAGUAAAAGUUGUAUGGAAGAAUCAUACUAGUGAAGAGGCAACAUGGGAAGACGAGGAACUGAUGUGAGCCAAAUAUCCUCACUUGUUUGAAUCCAUAGGUAUGUAGAUAUUUAAAAUCGGGGACCGAAUUUUCGUAAGGGGGGAAGGAUGUAAUGACCCAACUAGUUGGGCUGGCCCAUUUAACUAAUCCAACUAUUAAGACAAUUAGCCUAACUGAAUUAAGCAAAAGAAGGAAAAUAAAAAGAGAAAAAGAUGGGCGAUUUGUGCAAGAAAAGAAAAAAAAGAAUAAAACCAGUAACUUGUUUAUCCAAAGCUGCUCAAUAGCAAUUUUUCUAAGGAAAAAAAAAAGAGAAACAUGAAGAAAGAGAGAUACGAAGAAGGAGAAGAAGGAGAUCAAGGAGGAACAAAUCCUAAAAGCCGAUUCCAACAUCAAAUAGAAGUUAUUAUCUCUAAAACCUUGAACCCAAGUAGGCAAGUAGUGUUGAAGAACACUCACUUUUCUCCCUUAUCGACUCUCACAAGUAAAUUUCUAGUAUACCUAUCUACCAAUGAACCCAUCCCUUUUUAUGAGUAAUUAGCAAUAAAAAGUUAGGGUUAAAGAUAUAGUAAUCUGAAAUUUAAUAGAGAAGUUCCAACUCUGGGGGAAAAGACUCGAAUCUUUGUAUCAAACUCGAAUUAAUCAAAGUACUUUCAUUUACCCCAACUCUAAUAUGAAUACAAGUUCUUUGUAGGAUAAGAGAAAAGUGAUAUCAAUUAUAAUUGAGCAUAAGCCUUCUCUGUUUUUUUAAAAAGAGAGAGGAAGAAGAAGAAGAAAAACUACAACUCGAACUACUAAAGAGAAUAGUGACUUAACUUAAUAGUUGAGCGGGUUUGGGAAGUCGUAAUUUUAUUACUAGAGAUGUUAAUUAAUCGAGUUGUAGGAAUAAUUAAUAUUCAAAUGUUCAUUAUGUUCUAGAUAAUUGAUACUACGACGACGUUCGAUCGUUUGAAGUAAAUUUGGGUUGUUCGACAAAAUAUACUAUGAGUGAUGACUCUUCCAUAGUUGAAUUUUAACAAUAGCAUAACUGGAACUAGUUUUCUUGCAUCAAAAAUAUUUUGACAAAAUCUAUUACUUGUAUAGGGACAAGCAACUUAUAUGUUGUUGUAUGUCAAAUGAUACGGUAAUACCAGAGAUUAUUUAUAAAUAAUAUGAUAUUAAACUAUGUUUAUUUACGAGUUUUCAUAUAUUUUGGGUUUAAUUCUUGUUAGAAAAAAGAAGAAGUGGGUAAAACUAUAUUUUGCUAUAAACAAAAGGGCUUUAGGAAAUCAAUGGCCAGAUCGUCAUUAUCUAACGUCGGGAUUGUUAGAUCUGGUGCACCUUGUAUGACAGACCUGUGUGUCUCACACAUAUACCCUCUAGAAGGGAACUCAGCUGACGGGGUUGUCAGAUGGCCAUGGUAAACUCAUGGAGUCAAAAAGUAUAUCGACUCUGGCUUAAGUAUCUGGCUUAAGUAUCUUUCAACAUAAAAAAGAGUAUAGAAAACAUGGAAUUGCGACUAUAGUUUCACUCACCUGUUUUAUAAAUCUAUACAGGAAUUGUUGUAUUAAUUUCAUUGGGUAUUAUUGAAGAGUUUGUGAGAUGGAAGAUUUCGGAUAUAAGCUUGUCCCAAAUAUUUGCUAUGGUUGAUGUUAUUACUCACUCAGUCGGUGUGACUGACCUUAUUACCCCUUCUUUUUUUUUUCCUUUCCAUCACAAAUAAUUUAGUUGAAGCUGACACUUUGACCAUGUAGAGUGAUAGACAGAGCUGACGAUGGAUCCAGUAAGCUCGGCACUUGCUUCGCCUGGGCUUUCAGUUUGUUAGACUACUUUAACAUGUUAUUUUGUUAAAUUUCUAGAGUUUUGCUCCUUAA